Non-coding RNA from Microcebus murinus (gray mouse lemur), 2432 nucleotides. The record is from RefSeq and is a predicted model, not a curated record. Lineage: Eukaryota; Metazoa; Chordata; Mammalia; Primates; Cheirogaleidae.
GUGACCUCCUGCCUCAGUCUCCCAAGUAACUGGGACUACAGUCUCAUGAGAAAGAUUCUGGAAUGAUCCUAAAUGUAUAGACGAAAUAAUGGAAAAACACAGAUGCCACAUAACUUGACAGCAGGUGGUAGAGUCCAGACUUGAGCCCUGAAAUCCCUACAGAGCUUAUGUUUGAAAGGUGAAUUGGAGAAGUUCAGCUGAUAUGAGAAGAAGAUCUCAGUGGGAAGAGUAGAGUCAGGGAGACCAGUGAAGAGGCUGCUGCAGAGAUCUGGGUGCUCGUGAUUGAUAUGAAAAAGUGUACCAAGGUGAAGUGGUGGAGAGCGCUAUGAAAUAGCCAUGGGAGGAUCUAGAGGUGAGCAGAGCAGCUCUGUGGGCAACCUAAGGGCAGCGCCAUCCACAUCCCAACAGGACUCCAUCCUGGUGAGUGGUCAUAAACACAACAGUAAUCAGAAGCUACCAUUUCUAAGUGCUUACUACAUGUCAGGCACUGUACUAUGCCCUGUAGACCAUCUGCUCAUUUAGUUCCUUAGUUAGUAAAAAGCAGAGCCAGUACUAGAACCAAACCUGUCUGCUUCUAAAACCCAGGACCUAAGAACAAGCUCAUUCCAUUUUCUAAAGACAGAAGACAACACAUUUCACUUCUUCUUGGAGCUACGACACUGGGGUUAAGUGGUUCAUAAUGUUAACAGUUUCACCCAAUAAUCCAAAUUUUACUUUUCACUUCAUUCCAUUACUCUUAGGUCUACCCUCAAGAGACCCCCUCUCCUUCCCCAAUAAUACACACAAAAUCAAUUACAUCGUAGUAUCUGAUGCCAGUUGUGUUUAUACCAUAUAAGGGAGAAAAGUGUAUUUUUAUGAGUGGAGAUUUUGUUUUUCCAUUCGUUCCCUCCCAGGGGAUCUAAAUACUUUUUCUGAAGUUAGGCAUUGUGUGUGGCUUUGGAGCUGAGUUGGCAAGAGAAUGGAUACAUACUACACCUUAUUUAUUUUCUCUUCUAGGGAAGGGUCUCAGCUGUUUUUUCUCCUAAAUUGAAUUCUCUUAAAGAAUGACCCAAGCCGAGAAAUUUCCCAAACAUCUGAAAUCUGAGAAUUUGUGCCUGGAAUCCAUGAGGCUCAUGGUUUCCAGAUGGAGAGGCCGGAAGAAGAGGAGGCGGAGUUGUGGAGGAAGGAGGUGGAGGGAUAAAAGGCAGGGGAGCCUGAACUUUGGAUCACUUCUGGCUGCCUUGUGAACUAGGCCAGGUCUCUUAUUUGCUCUGCAAGUCUGCCAUUUGACAACGUGCCAGGCCUGAAGAUAGGCCGCCGCUGUGCAUGUCCUCCUGAGACUGUUCCGAUGAUUAUUAGGAAGUAAGUCAUUGUGAAAUUGUCUUUUCCAAGGGCAGUGACUGACCUUAGUAGCACAACAUAAAGAAAACCCCAUGGCUUGGUUAUCAAGAGGAGCAUAAACACUCCAGAUGGACUUUCUCUCCAUCCCCGAAAUGGCAAAAGACAGACACUUCUAGAAAUCUUGGCUUCCUCACACCACUUAACCAUAUGCAAUGGUGGACCUCCAGGUGACCUAAUUCUUCCUCCACAUGUCUUGUCCUCAUGCCAGAGGUGAGGGAGAGGGCUUACUAGGCAAGCUUGUUUUCAGUAAAUAACAGGAGAGUACAGUUUGGCCACAGUGGGCUAGGUAUGAUCACAGAAGGAAUGCCUGUGUUUGAUCAGCCAGGCCAGUAUCUUGUAGGCAAAUAUGAAUUUGGGGAAGAUAGAUCAGAACUCACCUGUUAGCAAAUGGGAAUUUAGUUUGAGUAUUGAAAAAAUGCAUGUUUUUAUUGUUAUCAGUGGCAUCUUUAUCAUCAUCCCCACCCCAAACUACCCCACUGACACUCCCCAUCACCCCUACACCACCAAGUCAGAGAGCAAUCUUGUUCCUCUAUCAGUUUUUUGCACUUAGAAUAGGCUGAAUCUGGCAAUAGGAUAUAGCAAUCCAACUGGGUCCAAAAGGUCUCAUAAUGUGUGGAGAGAAACCAAAUACAGAACAGUUACUUCCAAUUAACACCUCUAAUCUCCAGAUGUCCUAAUAAAAAUGGUGAGGCAGUAAAUGGCCACCCUUGAGCCAGAGAAUCAUACUUGGACUCAAGUGUUUUCAAGAGCGAGGCAAAGCAUCAACCUCUUCUUAACUUGAUUUCUCGGUCUGGAACACAUAAAUGUUUAAUACGACUCUGGCUGAGGGAAGAAAGCAAGCAGAGGUGGACAUAUCCUGUAACGGCAUGGCUUCAACAGAUCUCUCAUCACCCCCUGAGGUAUGAAGGGACGCUACCUGCCUCCACAAGCUGAGCAGUGCCCAGAAUCUAUGAACUUCUUUGGAGUAUGAUGUGAAUCUGGGGCCUGAGCCAGGCAUUAUCAUCAGGAAAAGGUGGAUGAUUUCCCUCAUCCUCACCUCUCCUUUUCCUAUU